UAAUUGGUGUUGUAUUGGUUUUGUUUCUGGAUGCCUCUAUUUUAUGGUUUUUAUUGUGUUUACAAAUCUGAGGUCCUCUAUUUAAGCUAACGUAUUGUUUUCUUCCUUAGAUAUCUGCAGCGAUUAUAUUUGGAAAUACUGUAUAUCUGAACACUUAAAUGUGUGUGAGUGCAAGCAGUUUUACCUUUAGCUCUUGUUUUCCUGUUUAGAUAACAAAUCUCACUUUCCUUGUGUGCUUGCACUAUAGGUUUGGGACUGACAAUAGCUGACUAACAUGUCCUGAGCUGUGAGAGGGCAUAGCAAGAAGGCCUUCAUGCGGUAAUGACCCUUUUCAGAGACAAUGGUCAUCAUGGAUUAUGCGUUUCCAAUUAUUUGUUCAUUUAUUUAUUUUCUACAUAACUAAAUUAGAAACCUCACUGCUUCAUGGCAGUUGGUUUGCUAUUGCUUCCAGUUUUAUUAGGGCUUCAUUUUAUAUUAGAGCUGUUAAAAGAUAACGUUUAGACAGGAAUUAUCUAAAGUAGAUCAUAUGUAGCUAGGUUAUGGUGCAAGGUAUAUGAUGUGUGCAAAUAUGUCCACAGAAAUAAAUACAUAGUAGGUAUGUGGAAUGUAAAUUUAAGUCAAUCGUUCCACAUAGUUUAGAAAUGUAAGGGGCUUUUUCAUAUUGUUAACUGAGUGAGAUCAGUUCCCCUUAUGCCUGUGAGGCUGCAGGGUUUGUUCUCACCUGCAUGCACACACUAAGCCCAAAUAUUUCUGUUCAUUCAUUGUCAGAUUAGGAUAUGAAAAUAAAAUUUUUCUGUUAGUUGUUUUUGUAUUGAGAUUCCAAAGAUGGUAAUAUUUUUAUAGUAUUCAUGUAUAUAUGGAAAUACUUUUUUUGACGGCUAGGGUAUCUUUUGUGUUUCUGUAGGACCUAGAUGUGAAGGCUGGUGGAGGCUGUGUAAUGACCAUUGGAGAAAUGCUACGGUCUUUUCUCACAAAACUGGAGUGGUUUUCUACCUUGUUUCCAAGAAUUCCAGUUCCAGUUCAAAAGAAUAUUGAUCAACAGAUUAAAACCCGACCUAGAAAAAUCAAGAAAGAUGGGAAGGAAGGUGCUGAGGAAAUAGACAGACAUGUUGAACGCAGACGUUCAAGGUCUCCAAGGAGAUCUCUGAGUCCACGGAGGUCCCCAAGAAGAUCAAGAAGUAGAAGUCAUCAUCGGGAGGGCCAUGGGUCUUCUAGUUUUGACAGAGAAUUAGAAAGAGAGAAAGAACGCCAGCGACUAGAGCGUGAAGCCAAAGAAAGGGAGAAAGAACGGCGAAGAUCCCGAAGUAUUGACCGGGGGUUAGAACGCAGGCGCAGCAGAAGUAGGGAAAGGC
This 1352-nucleotide small RNA is filed under the name Pongo abelii (Sumatran orangutan). Its description in RNAcentral is "processed transcript". The record is from RNAcentral. Lineage: Eukaryota; Metazoa; Chordata; Mammalia; Primates; Hominidae.